This 506-nucleotide ribosomal RNA is filed under the name uncultured bacterium. RNAcentral's name for it is "bacterial SSU rRNA". It matches the Rfam family "Bacterial small subunit ribosomal RNA", at positions 28 to 530 of the family's 1533-position model. The record is from RNAcentral.
GAUGAACGCUAGCGGCAGGCUUAAUACAUGCAAGUCGAGGGGCAGCGCGGGUAGCAAUACCUGGCGGCGACCGGCAAACGGGUGCGGAACACGUACGCAAUCUACCUUGUUCUGGGGCAUAGCCCGGAGAAAUCCGGAUUAACUCCCCAUAGUAUUAUUGGGUGGCAUCACUUAGUAAUUAAAAUUUAUUGGAAUGAGAUGAGCGUGCGUCCCAUUAGCUAGUUGGUAGGGUAACGGCCUACCAAGGCAACGAUGGGUAGCUGGUGUGAGAGCACGACCAGCCACACGGGCACUGAGACACGGGCCCGACUCCUACGGGAGGCAGCAGUGAGGAAUAUUGGUCAAUGGACGCAAGUCUGAACCAGCCAUGCCGCGUGAAGGAUGAAGGCCUUCUGGGUUGUAAACUUCUUUUACAGGGAAGAAACUACGGUUUCUACUGUAGCCGACGGUACCCUAGGAAUAAGCACCGGCUAACUCCGUGCCAGCAGCCGCGGUAAGGUGACGCU